UUAAAACGAGAGUUUGAUCCUGGCUCAGAAUCAACGCUGGCGGCAUGCCUCAGACAUGCAAGUCGAACGCGAAAGUCCUUCGGGAUGAGUAGAGUGGCGCACGGGUGAGUAACACGUGGGUAAUCUACCUCAAAGUGGGGAAUAGCCCGGGGAAACCCGGAUUAAUACCGCAUAAGACAUUAGAAUCACAUGGUUUAGAUGUUAAAGCUUUGGCGGUUUUAGAUGGGCAUGCGUCCGAUUAGCUAGUUGGAGAGGUAACGGCUCACCAAGGCGACGAUCGGUAGGGGUUCUGAGAGGAAGAUCCCCCACACUGGCACUGAGAUACGGGCCAGACUCCUACGGGAGGCUGCAGUAGGGAAUAUUGGGCAAU
Molecule: ribosomal RNA, 370 nt
Filed under: Pyrinomonadaceae bacterium
Lineage: Bacteria; Pseudomonadati; Acidobacteriota; Blastocatellia; Blastocatellales; Pyrinomonadaceae
Description: bacterial SSU rRNA
Rfam family: Bacterial small subunit ribosomal RNA
Source: RNAcentral